RNAcentral lists this ribosomal RNA (253 nucleotides) under uncultured bacterium. RNAcentral's name for it is "partial 16S ribosomal RNA". It matches the Rfam family "Bacterial small subunit ribosomal RNA", at positions 524 to 776 of the family's 1533-position model. The record is from RNAcentral.
UACGGGGGGGGCAAGCGUUGUUCGGAAUCACUGGGCUUAAAGGGCGCGUAGGCGGGUGCUCAAGUCCGGGGUGAAAUCCUCCAGCUCAACUGGAGAACUGCCUCGGAUACUGGGUGCCUCGAGGGUGGUAGGGGUAUGCGGAACUAUCGGUGGAGCGGUGAAAUGCGUUGAUAUCGAUAGGAACUCCGGUGGCGAAGGCGGCAUACUGGACCACUUCUGACGCUGAGGCGCGAAAGCCAGGGGAGCAAACGGG